This is a long non-coding RNA of Raphanus sativus (radish), 1478 nucleotides long. RefSeq lists it as uncharacterized. The transcript has 9 exons. The record is from RefSeq and is a predicted model, not a curated record. Lineage: Eukaryota; Viridiplantae; Streptophyta; Magnoliopsida; Brassicales; Brassicaceae.
AAAAGUAACGAAGACUAGGGUUUAGCAUAUCUGUGGGUCCCACCCUCUUUUUUUUUCACCGCUGUCGUCGUCGUGAUCCUUCGUUUCAGACGAUUCCUCUUCUGGCGUUCAUUUUUAUUGCUCGAUCUUAUAUUAUAUGAUUUCAAUCCAGAUCUUUAUUCGCAUCUGUUCUCAAUCGUUUUCAAUCGUCAUGGUUACUCCAAUUAAUAAUCGUACGCCUCUCCGUAAUUACCAUCGCUGAUAAUCUUCUCAGCCAGGCCAGUAUCUAUCGUGAAGAGAAGAAUGUUGUAGACUUGAAUCACGCUUCCUAGAUACUGCAGCCAACGAUGAAUCAUCUAUUGUUGGAAGUGGUUUUCGGUGGUAUUGUAUAGUUAAGAUUCUGUUGAAUGUCUUCCUGUCCACCGAGAUUCAUACUCCAGAUCUGAUUUUAACAAGAUCAUGCAGCUGGUAAGGUUGACAACAUCUCAAGACACGUUACUAUUUCUGCCCAGCAAACAUUAAACUAACCGAAUGUGUUUAUAAACCUUUAACAAGAAAACUGUUGGCCCUGGAGCACCUUUUACGAAAGAGUCUCUUGAUGAAGCUUAGAUAAAAUUAGAAGCCUUGGACAAGAAAGAUAAGAAAGAAGAAGAACGCCUGGUUUGAAAAACAACCUUGAAUCUUAUGUUUAUGCUACCAAAGAGAAGCUAGAAACACCCGAAUUUGAAAAGGUUUCCACCCAAGAAGAGCGCAAAACGUUUGUUGAGAAGCUUGAUGAGGCAUGUAACAAUUUUCUUCCGAACUCUAUGUAUACCAAUAGGUUCCAACGAUGAGUUCAAGCGUUCGACAGUGAUUAGUGUCUUGUGUACUUUCAGGUGCAAGAUUGUCUUUACAUGGACGGAGAAGAUGCUAAUGCCACAGAGUUUCCGGGGUGACUUGACUCAGUAAAAGCCAUUGGCAGUCCCAUAUCUUUGCAGUCAGAGGAGCUUACAGAACGACCAGUAGCAGUUGACAACGCUCAAAAACACCUAACCAAAAUGAAAGAGAUCAUAAAAGAGUGGGAGACGAACAAAACUUAGCUCCCGAGAGUAAAAAUCGACGAGGUGCCAAAGGAAGCGGAGAAGGUGAAAAGCUGGUUGGAGAAGAAUGACGUUGAGCAGAAAAACUUACUAAGCUUAUUAGGAUUCCAAAGCCAAAGCCAAAGAUAGAGAAAACAACCAAGAAUGACAACACAUCGAAGGAGGCGGGGGAACAGUCAAAGUCUUUAGACUCUACCAAUUCUUCUGAAUCUACCGAAGAAGAAGAAGGGAGCCACGAGGAGCUUUAACAUAUUAUUUAUAAAUAAUAACGGAAUUUUUGUGUGCGUUUUAAGUGUCAAUAGGAAAGGUUAGUAAAGCCAAGCUGGGAUGAGAAGAUAUGAUUCUAUUCCUUUCUCAUCUUCUUCACAAUUUUUUCCAUACAGAAUAUUAAAUUAUAUUAGUUCCUUCUUAUACAGAACA